UUUGAACAGCUUUCAGCUAAUGACCGGCGGGGCCCUCCCCCAGCAUCCACAUCAUCAAUUGAUGCAAUGCCUACCAUUAAGAUUACCCAGAGGCAUCUUCGUUCUGAUUCACACUGUCCAGUUUGCAAAGAUAAAUUUGAGUUGGGAAGUGAAGCGAGGCAGAUGCCAUGUGACCACAUAUACCAUUCAGAUUGCAUAGUCCCAUGGCUAGUUCAGCAUAAUUCAUGCCCUGUUUGUCGUCAGGAGCUACC
Molecule: unclassified non-coding RNA, 251 nt
Filed under: Hevea brasiliensis (rubber tree)
Lineage: Eukaryota; Viridiplantae; Streptophyta; Magnoliopsida; Malpighiales; Euphorbiaceae
Source: RNAcentral